RNAcentral lists this long non-coding RNA (372 nucleotides) under Panax ginseng (ginseng). RNAcentral's name for it is "long non-coding RNA (PGIN_LNC014033)". Lineage: Eukaryota; Viridiplantae; Streptophyta; Magnoliopsida; Apiales; Araliaceae. The record is from RNAcentral.
GAAGCCCAGAACCUGUCUAGUCCAAAAAAGUACAAACAUUCCAACAUACUGACUAAAUUGGAAAUGAUUACAUUGUGAUUACAAAACAAACAUUUCAAACAUUCUGAUUAAAUUACAUCUCCAUAAUCACUCAGGAACAAAAACACUUAAAAAUUCCAAAUAAACACAUAACGAGACAUUAAUUAUCUUUAGGUUCAGGAAGUCCUAACACCCUAUAAUGAUUACGCUUGUCAUGGUUAGUUUCAAAUCCGCAUAUUGCACAUUUUCGGUGAGACUUACUACCCACUAAUCUUUCAACGACACUUUUUAAUCUUGAUUGUCUUUUCCGACCCUUUAUCUGAGAAGCAAUUGGUGGCAAAAACUCUGUUUCUU